RNAcentral lists this ribosomal RNA (442 nucleotides) under uncultured bacterium. RNAcentral's name for it is "bacterial SSU rRNA". It matches the Rfam family "Bacterial small subunit ribosomal RNA", at positions 954 to 1396 of the family's 1533-position model. The record is from RNAcentral.
GAUUAACGCGAAGAACCUUACCUGGGCUUGAAGUGCACCGGACCAUCCUUGGAAACAGGGACUUCCCGCAAGGGACUGGUGUAGAGGUGCUGCAUGGCUGUCGUCAGCUCGUGCCGUGAGGUGUUGGGUUAAGUCCCGCAACGAGCGCAACCCUUACUCGUAGUUGCCACCCGCAAGGGGGAACUCUACGAGGACUGCUCCGGAUAACGGAGAGGAAGGUGGGGAUGAGGUCAAGUCAGCAUGGCCUUUAUGUCCAGGGCUACACACGUGUUACAAUGCGCGCUACAAAGCGUCGCGAACCCGCGAGGGGGAGCUAAUCGCAAAAAAGCGCGCUCAGUUCGGAUUGCAGUCUGCAACUCGACUGCAUGAAGCCGGAAUCGCUAGUAAUGGCGCAUCAGAACGGCGCCGUGAAUACGUUCCCGGGCCUUGUACACACCGAAUC